This is a long non-coding RNA of Bubalus bubalis (water buffalo), 1363 nucleotides long. RefSeq lists it as uncharacterized. The transcript is spliced from 4 exons. The record is from RefSeq and is a predicted model, not a curated record. NCBI's taxonomy places the organism in Eukaryota, Metazoa, Chordata, Mammalia, Artiodactyla, Bovidae.
GCGGAGCGAGUCUCCAAAAGACGCACAGGAGAGGCCCCUGAGGGAGUCUGCUGUAGACACCUGCCCAGUCCACAGUGCCUAAACUCAGCUACCUCGAUAGGACUCAUCAAGUUAUCAUCAUCUGUCAGAUCUGAACUUAAACAACAAGAAACAUGUCAGGCUCGGUUUCUGAGUGCCUAUAGGCAGAAAGAAGAGUUGAGGAGCCGGGAAUGUUCACCAGUAUUGCAUUUCUUCCAACCAACGUUUCUGCGUAUACAUCAGUGACAGCGGACUGGCUUGCUGCGAGGCAGGUGGCCGCGGCAGAACCGGUUGGGAUGAGUUACCGCACCACCUCGGAUUCUGGGAUUCCCGCACUACUUUGCGGCUCUUCCUGCGCUCCAGAGCGCUCCUUUGAAACGAGCGCAAAAGGCAUAAAUUUUGAGUAGCUAAACUCGUUUCCCCGAGACAGCAGCGCUUAGACAGACAAGCUGGGAGCGGAGAGCUUGCCUUGCUCCCCGUGGGUACGCUGCCAAAGUGGCGCUUGAUCGUUAGUGAAAAAAAAAAAAGACGGAGCGAUAUGGUUCAGUCCGGCGUUUGCAGGAGGAAGCAGACGAUUGCGGGUGAAGGCCCCAUGAGUCCAGCUCCGCCUGGACUACGCGGCUCCCCACCUCUGGCGGCCGCGGCUCCUGUUCCCCAGGACGUGCUCGCAGUUCCAGCCUCUAAUCCUAGUCCUCAGCUGGCGCAGGCUGGCUGAAGGAUCGCGCAACUAGGCGGAAUGUGUUGACUCCAUCCUCCAGGAGAAUUCAGAUUGGACUGAAAGGAAAAAAUUUCCCUGACCUGGGCAGCAGCAGUCGGUCGAUGAAACUGACCUUCAUGACACUGAUCAGAGAUAAACCUCUUGGCAUGAGACAGCCUGGCACACCACUGAUCACUCGGUUGGGGACUAGGGACAAACAGCCCACCACCACGAAAUUUACCAGCGUGUACUUAAAGAGAAAGCCCGAGAUGCCUAAAACAGAUCGGUGCACAACAGAACACUGUUCACUGUUAACCGACCACCUGAAACCGUUCGCAGUGAGGCUACCCUGAAAUUAACCUGACUGGGUGAAAGGAACCAGAAUGAAAUCCACCUGCCUGUUAACACAGCCACUUAGCCACAACAAGAGACUGGAGCAGAGGCUGAAGAGUGCGGCGGGGUGGAGCCGGGAGGGGGCUAGUCUCUGGGUGCUCCUGAGAACCUGACUGGUGCCGCUGCGGGGAUUGGGGGAGGGGGUUGUCCAGUGCUUUUUAAUUUACGACCGCCGCGCCCCAAGCCAUCCCAUAAAUUUGGGGGCCGUUUUCACCAAAGCUGUGAGUUACGAUUUUUCAAAUAAAUACAUUUUCC